Molecule: long non-coding RNA, 279 nt
Filed under: Danio rerio (zebrafish)
Lineage: Eukaryota; Metazoa; Chordata; Actinopteri; Cypriniformes; Danionidae
Description: lncRNA si:ch211-237d5.5 (ENSDARG00000097413.2)
Source: RNAcentral
GGAUGCAGAGGAAAUAUACACAGUGAAUGUGAUGCGACUGAGAGCAGAACACACCUCCAACAGACUCGAGCGUAUGGAGAACAUUAGAAACUGGACACAUACGCCACAUCCACAGUGGACAUCUUCAGUGAUUUUCAUCGCUUGUGUUUAUUUUCAGAGGAAAUUCAGCUCAGCACCACCUUCAGGAUGGACAGUUUCCAGUGGCACCACCUAGAGGAACGGACCUCGCCACCUAUAUAUACAGGUUUGACAUUCUCAUCCACAAUGAAAUCAUCUUUA